Molecule: long non-coding RNA, 487 nt
Organism: Tachysurus fulvidraco (yellow catfish)
Lineage: Eukaryota; Metazoa; Chordata; Actinopteri; Siluriformes; Bagridae
Exons: 2
Source: RefSeq, a predicted model, not a curated record
GGGGGUAUUCCAGAAAGCAGGUUAUGUGACAUACCUGGGUAUGUUUAAGGGUAAUAUGUGAGGCAACCCAAAUCAUUACCAAUGUCGAGGCAAAAUGGCCAGGAUCUGUGCAUGAUGCCAGAAUUUUCCAUGAGUCAUCAUUAUGCCAGACAUUUCAGCAGGGUAUGUUUUGCUUUAUACAAUUGUUUUUUUUUUCCUUUUUACAUUCUAUUUGUGUUGUACACUUCAAUCAUUACAGGACAGUACAAUGGUUACUUGCUGGGGGACAGAGGAUACCCUUGUCUGCCCUAUUUAAUGACACCCUACCCUGAACCUGGACCACAGACACGGUUUAACCUGGCUCACAGCUGAACACAGGCCAAGGUGGAGAUGACUAUAGGGAUCCUCAAAUCUCGGUUUCAGUGUCUGCGUGGGCUCCGGGUUAGUCCAGAGAGGGCAUGCGACAUUUUAGUGGCUUGUGUUGUGCUUCACAAUAUUGCCACUAUAA